CUGCACUACUUUAGUUUGGCCUCAGUGGGUGUUACAGCUGCAAAGAUGUUGUCCAGCCUCAUCCUUCACCAGCCUGAGUACUGCUUGUUCCAGAAGUGCAUUGCUGAAAGAGUGGAGUCAUACAAAGUCAGGCAUGGGUGUCUCAGGAAAGCAACGCCAGGACACAGUUUUGGAAACACAGUCUGAUAGUCAUCCAGUAACACUUAUUAGUAUUCUGUGCAUAGAAACAGCUAGACAAGAUUCACCUGGUCUUAAAAAUGAUCUAGAAGUUGUGAUCUGUGAUAUUCAGGAAGGUAAACUGGGGAAGGAAACUCUUCUGGCCAUUAAUGGAUGUUAAUGGAUGCUGGCCCCCGAUGCGGCU
Molecule: long non-coding RNA, 361 nt
Organism: Bos taurus (domestic cattle)
Lineage: Eukaryota; Metazoa; Chordata; Mammalia; Artiodactyla; Bovidae
Source: Ensembl